UACAGAGGGUGCAAGCGUUAAUCGGAUUUACUGGGCGUAAAGCGUGCGUAGACGGUUCAUUAAGUCGGUUGUGAAAUCCCUGGGCUUAACCUGGGAACUGCAGUCGAUACUGGUGAACUAGAAUGCGGUAGAGGGUGGCGGAACUCCGGGUGUAGCGGUGAAAUGCGUAGAUAUCCGGAAGAACACCGAUGGCGAAGGCAACCACCUGGGCCUGCAUUGACGCUGAGGUACGAAAGCGUGGGGAGCAAACAGG
RNAcentral lists this ribosomal RNA (253 nucleotides) under uncultured bacterium. RNAcentral's name for it is "partial 16S ribosomal RNA". It matches the Rfam family "Bacterial small subunit ribosomal RNA", at positions 524 to 776 of the family's 1533-position model. The record is from RNAcentral.